Molecule: unclassified non-coding RNA, 336 nt
Filed under: soil metagenome
Description: partial contains 5.8S ribosomal RNA, internal transcribed spacer 2, and large subunit ribosomal RNA
Rfam family: 5.8S ribosomal RNA (bases 1-120)
Source: RNAcentral
GAUGAAGAACGUAGCGAAAUGCGAUAAGUAAUGUGAAUUGCAGAAUUCAGUGAAUCAUCGAAUCUUUGAACGCACAUUGCGCCCGCCAGUAUUCUGGCGGGCAUGUCUGUUCGAGCGUCAUUUCAACCAUCAAGCCCCCGGCUUGUGUUGGGGACCUGCGGCUGCCGCAGGCCCUGAAAAGCAGUGGCGGGCUCGCUGUCACACCGAGCGUAGUAGAUUUCAUCUCGCUCAGGGCGUGCUGCGGGUUCCGGCCGUUAAACCACCUUCAUAACCCAAGGUUGACCUCGGAUCAGGUAGGAAGACCCGCUGAACUUAAGCAUAUCAAUAAGCGGAGGA